AGACAGAGAAGGAGGAGGGAGAAAGCACUGGAGCUUGGAGAUGUGUUGAGAGAUUUGGAAAACCUGAGAAUUGGAGUAAGGAAGACCCUGCCCAGCAGGACAGGGAGACUCCCUUCCCCCCAGCAUCUAAGGACCAAGAGUAACCCCACCUAAGGGGGAGGAAGAUGGGCAAG
This is a long non-coding RNA of Dermochelys coriacea (leatherback sea turtle), 173 nucleotides long. RefSeq lists it as uncharacterized. The record is from RefSeq and is a predicted model, not a curated record. The transcript is spliced from 3 exons. NCBI's taxonomy places the organism in Eukaryota, Metazoa, Chordata, Testudines, Dermochelyidae.